This 466-nucleotide ribosomal RNA is filed under the name uncultured bacterium. Its description in RNAcentral is "partial 16S ribosomal RNA". It matches the Rfam family "Bacterial small subunit ribosomal RNA", at positions 339 to 795 of the family's 1533-position model. The record is from RNAcentral.
CUACGGGUUGCUGCAGUCGAGAAUAGUCUACAAUGGACGAAAGUCUGAUAGUGCGACGCCGCGUGGAUGAAGAAGCAUUUCGGUGUGUAAAGUCCUUUUCUGUGUGAGCAAUGUUUUCCAGGUUAACAGCUUGGAGAAAGCGAUAUUAACACAGGAAUAAGCUCCGGCUAACUCCGCGCCAGCAGCCGCGGUAACACGGGGGGAGCAAGCGUUGUCCGGAAUUACUAGGCGUAAAGGGUAAGUAGGCGGAAUUGUAAGUCAGAUGUUAAAGGCACCGGCUCAACCGGUGUAUGGCAUUUGAUACUGUAAUUCUAGAGUAAGGUGGGGGAAGACGGAAUUCCUGGUGUAGCGGUGGAAUGCGCAGAUAUCAGGAGGAACACCAGAGGCGCAGGCGGUCUUCUAUACCAUUACUGACGCUCAAUUACGAAGGUGUGGGUAUCAAACAGGAUUAGAUACCCCGGUAGUC